UACGAAGGGGGCUAGCGUUGCUCGGAAUGACUGGGCGUAAAGGGCGUGUAGGCGGUUUGCACAGUUAGAUGUGAAAUCCCCGGGCUUAACCUGGGAGCUGCAUUUAAUACGUGCAGACUAGAGUGUGAGAGAGGGUUGUGGAAUUCCCAGUGUAGAGGUGAAAUUCGUAGAUAUUGGGAAGAACACCGGUGGCGAAGGCGGCAACCUGGCUCAUGACUGACGCUGAGGCGCGAAAGCGUGGGGAGCAAACAGG
Molecule: ribosomal RNA, 253 nt
Filed under: uncultured Acetobacter sp.
Lineage: Bacteria; Pseudomonadati; Pseudomonadota; Alphaproteobacteria; Acetobacterales; Acetobacteraceae
Description: partial 16S ribosomal RNA
Rfam family: Bacterial small subunit ribosomal RNA
Source: RNAcentral